Long non-coding RNA from Cryptotermes secundus, 517 nucleotides. RefSeq lists it as uncharacterized. The record is from RefSeq and is a predicted model, not a curated record. Lineage: Eukaryota; Metazoa; Arthropoda; Insecta; Blattodea; Kalotermitidae. The transcript is spliced from 3 exons.
UGAGCGUAUAGUGGUGCUAUUCGUCAGUUGUUUCGCGUCCUGCUGGAAUAAUCGUAUGUGUGAAAUGUGUGGUUCGCUGCUGCCGGCAGGUUAUCUAGUAGUGAUUGUUGUGACGUAAAAUAUACGGUGUGCCAGCCAUAUGCGGAUUACCGUUCCAGUGUGAUCAGAUUUUUGAACCGUAACAGAAGAUCGAUAAUAGUAGUGUGGGACUGUUUGUGUAGUUGUGUUUGCUGGCAUGGAUGUUGUUCCGAACAUGCUGUGAAACUAUGUUUACCUUUGUAGGAUUUGAGGUUCUUACAGCGGUGGUUAUGCAGAAAGACAAAGCUCCUCAUGUUUACCUUUGGUUUUCUGGAUGGAUCUUUGAAACGCGUCUUUUUAUGGAAUUGCUAAGGUUGCGUGUAGCGUGGUGAUGAUUCCUAAGAACACUAUGAGAAAGUUUUAUACAAUGGCUAAUUUUUAGAAGAUUCAUACAAUUAUGGAUAUAAAUAAUACUGUAUUUAUAUAUUUCUUCAUUUUU